GGGGGUGGGAGGGGGGUCGCGGGAGAACCUGAAGGGGGCAGGGCAGAAGGGACCCCCGGAGCCCUGCCGCCAUCAGAGAUCAAGAAUUUGGCAUCAGGGAUCUUCGGACCCAGCAGAAGGAUCAGCCACAAGGGAGGUGUUCUCCCUAGGAAGCCAACAAGAGAGUCACCUGCCCCACAUCAGGAGCAGGGACCCCUCAUGUCGCUGCUGGCAACCAAAUCAGGCCCCUAGCCCCUCAGCCUCCUUCCUAUUGCCUUCCUCUGACUCUCUCCUCGUCUCCUUUGGCAUUUGCGCCUUUCUCCCGCUCUCUGAGCUCCAGCACUUCUGCUACCACCCAAACGCCCCAGGGCUUAGCUGCCCUGACCCCCAUCCUGGGAUAUUUGCCAGAUCUCUGGGAGAGAGAUCAUUUGUUUGGGCUAUGCCCCCGGGUGGCCUGACAGUGGCUGCCUAGACCCCUGACCCCUAGCCUCAACUCCCCAGGCCUCCUUUGUGUGACAAGCCCUCCUCUGAUCAGCACUGUGGUUGGGGGCCAAAGGGAAAGCCGGCCCUGCUGGGCCCUUGGGCCCCACCACCUGCCUACUCCUGGUUGGGCAGCUUCCCUUGUCUUUGGGCCUCUCCCUGCUCCCCCUGGCCCCUCCUCCUGGGCCGCCCCAAUGAAGGAGCCGGAUGCCAUCAAGCUGUUUGUGGGGCAGAUCCCGAGGCAUCUGGAGGAAAAGGACCUGAAGCCCAUCUUCGAGCAGUUUGGUCGGAUCUUCGAGCUGACUGUCAUCAAGGACAAGUACACCGGGCUGCACAAGGGAUGUGCCUUCCUGACAUACUGUGCCCGCGAUUCAGCCCUGAAGGCCCAGAGUGCCCUGCACGAACAGAAGACUCUCCCAGGGAUGAACAGGCCGAUCCAGGUCAAGCCAGCCGACAGCGAGAGUCGAGGAGAAGAUCGGAAGCUCUUUGUGGGGAUGCUAGGAAAGCAGCAGACAGAUGAGGACGUCCGGAAGAUGUUUGAACCAUUUGGGACCAUAGAUGAGUGCACUGUGCUCCGGGGGCCAGAUGGUACCAGCAAAGGCUGUGCUUUUGUGAAGUUCCAGACUCACGCUGAGGCCCAGGCAGCCAUCAACACCCUCCACAGCAGCCGGACCCUGCCGGGUGCCUCAUCCAGCCUGGUGGUAAAGUUUGCUGACACAGAGAAGGAGCGAGGUCUCCGCCGAAUGCAGCAGGUGGCUACCCAGCUGGGCAUGUUCAGCCCUAUCGCCCUCCAGUUUGGAGCCUACAGCGCUUACACCCAGGCCCUGAUGCAGCAGCAGGCAGCCCUGGUAGCAGCUCACAGUGCCUACCUCAGCCCUAUGGCCACCAUGGCUGCCGUGCAGAUGCAGCACAUGGCUGCCAUCAAUGCCAACGGCCUCAUUGCCACCCCCAUCACUCCAUCCUCAGGAACCAGCACCCCCCCUGCCAUUGCUGCCACGCCCGUCUCUGCCAUCCCUGCUGCCUUGGGCGUCAACGGCUAUAGCCCGGUGCCCACCCAGCCCACAGGGCAGCCUGCCCCUGAUGCUCUGUAUCCCAACGGGGUUCACCCUUACCCAGCCCAGAGCCCUGCUGCCCCCGUGGAUCCUCUCCAGCAGGCCUAUGCAGGAAUGCAGCACUAUACAGCCUUUUCUGUUUUCACCACCCCAGCAGCCUAUCCUGCAGCCUACAGCCUGGUUGCACCUGCAUUCCCGCAGCCUCCAGCCCUGGUCGCCCAGCAGCCCCCACCACCACCUCAGCAACAGCAGCAGCAGCAGCAGCAACAGCAGCAGCAGCAACGGGAAGGCCCAGAUGGCUGCAACAUCUUCAUCUACCACCUGCCCCAGGAGUUCACGGACUCAGAGAUCCUUCAGAUGUUUGUCCCCUUUGGUCAUGUCAUCUCAGCCAAAGUCUUUGUUGACCGGGCCACCAAUCAGAGCAAAUGUUUUGGCUUUGUGAGUUUCGACAAUCCGGCCAGUGCCCAGGCUGCCAUCCAGGCUAUGAAUGGUUUCCAGAUUGGCAUGAAGCGCCUCAAAGUCCAGCUAAAGCGGCCUAAGGAUGCAAACAGGCCCUACUAAGGGCUGCAGCCCAGGGUCCGUGUCCAUUGUCGGCUGAAGCCCCCAUCCCGGACCCCUGCUCCGGGCCCCUGUCUGGAGACACCAGAGAAAGGGGCACUUGACACUCUCUUCCCUGACUGGCCCUGGCCUUCUCUGCACAUCGGCCCUGGGCCUUGAUUGGACUCUGGGGCAAAAGCUGCUUCGUGGCCCUAAGGGCCCAGGACCUGGCUCACUCCCACCACCUUGCCUCUCUGAAGGGCCAUGGUUUUGCUUCCCUGGCUCCAAGAGCCUAUUCCCUCCCCAGUGCCCUUUUGGCCUUUGUGAGGAAGCAAGGAAUAGGCUCUAAGGUUCAGGGGUAUCUGCCUUCUGCUAAGGCUCCCAAGUCG
Phodopus roborovskii (desert hamster) is the source of this 2437-nucleotide RNA transcript. It is a transcript of the gene named CUGBP Elav-like family member 3, with no coding region annotated. The transcript has 14 exons. The record is from RefSeq and is a predicted model, not a curated record. NCBI's taxonomy places the organism in Eukaryota, Metazoa, Chordata, Mammalia, Rodentia, Cricetidae.